Molecule: non-coding RNA, 89 nt
Filed under: Leuconostoc carnosum
Lineage: Bacteria; Bacillati; Bacillota; Bacilli; Lactobacillales; Lactobacillaceae
Also listed under: 1 other name
Description: TPP
Rfam family: TPP riboswitch aptamer (THI element)
About the family: Vitamin B(1) in its active form thiamin pyrophosphate (TPP) is an essential coenzyme that is synthesised by coupling of pyrimidine and thiazole moieties in bacteria. The previously detected thiamin-regulatory element, thi box was extended, resulting in a new, highly conserved RNA secondary structure, the THI element, which is widely distributed in eubacteria and also occurs in some archaea. Analysis of operon structures identified a large number of new candidate thiamin-regulated genes, mostly transporters, in various prokaryotic organisms.
Source: RNAcentral
CAUUAAAACUAGGGGCGCCAAUUGGCUGAGAAGUACCCUUUGAACCUGAGAUGGAUAAUACCAGCGGAGGAAAGUGAUUUGUGAUGCAA